GUCUUCAAUGAUGAUAUAGUGAUUUACCUUGGGACACCUAUGAAAUAUUGUGAUUAGUGUGAAUUUUAUUUAUAACUGAUAAAU
This is a small nucleolar RNA of Scaptodrosophila lebanonensis, 84 nucleotides long. RefSeq annotates it as small nucleolar RNA Me28S-Gm3113. The transcript has a single exon. NCBI's taxonomy places the organism in Eukaryota, Metazoa, Arthropoda, Insecta, Diptera, Drosophilidae. The record is from RefSeq and is a predicted model, not a curated record.